RNAcentral lists this ribosomal RNA (490 nucleotides) under uncultured bacterium. RNAcentral's name for it is "bacterial SSU rRNA". It matches the Rfam family "Bacterial small subunit ribosomal RNA", at positions 28 to 532 of the family's 1533-position model. The record is from RNAcentral.
GAUGAACGCUGGCGGCGUGCAUAACACAUUCAAGUCGAACGGACGACCCGGAGCUUGCUCCGGGAAGUUAGUGGCGGACGGGUGAGUAACGCGUGAGCAACCUGCCUGUGUGAGCGGAAUAACGUCCGGAAACAGACGCUAAUACCGCAUGACUCACGGACUUCGCAUGGAGACCGUGGCAAAGAUUUAUCGCACACAGAUGGGCUCGCGUCCGAUUAGGCAGUUGGUGAGGUAACGGCUCACCAAACCGACGAUCGGUAGCCGGACUGAGAGGUUGAACGGCCACAUUGGAACUGAGAAACGGUCCAGACUCCUACGGGAGGCAGCAGUGGGGAAUAUUGGGCAAUGGGGAAACCCUGACCCAGCGACGCCGCGUGAGGGAAGACGGUCUUCGGAUUGUAAACCUCUUUCAGCAGGGAAGAAGAAGUGACGGUACCUGCAGAGAAGCCACGGCUAACUACGUGCCAGCAGCCGCGGUAAUGUCGUACGA